CAGUCAUUUCCAUAGAGGAGGCUUUGCAUCAUCAGCUGAUCCUCCAGUGAACUCACAAGGUUUAUAGUGGUGUGAGUUCAACACUGCAGGACUCACAUGUGUCAGUCAACACAGCAGGAAGCACAAGCAGCAUGACUCUCAUCACCAUCCUCAUCUGGACGCUGCUCUGCUGCUGCUUUACAGGAUGCAGUGGUCAGGUGACGGUGACUCAGCCUCCAGUGGAGACGUUCACUGCAGGAUCCACUGUGACGCUCACCUGUAAAACCAACACAGCUGUUUUUAGGUGGAAUAAUGCUGACUGUAUGUCCUGGUACCAACAGAAACCUGGUCAGAGCCCAAAGCUCCUGAUCUAUUAUGUAGAAAAGCUGCAUUCAGGGACACCAGAUCGGUUUAGUGGCAGUGGAAGCGGCUCUGACUUCACUUUGACCAUCAGAGGAGUUCAGGCUGAAGAUGCUGCAGUUUAUUACUGUCAGAGUCUUCAUAGUGGGCCAGUGUUCACACAGUGAUUUAGCGCCGUACAAAAACCUCCUCAGUCAGAGACACUGAGCUGUUACAGCAGGAACCAACUGCAGCUGCUGAAGAGGAACAAACUCUGACAUAGACACUGAACUCAGUGAUGAAACUAAACUCAACAAACAUGUUAGAGAUUCUCAUUAACUAACUAACCUUAACCAACUCUCACUACAUGUCACAAUGUUGUUUGUGAAAUUCUUAUGAAUUUAAAUUAAUAAGUGA
Molecule: non-coding RNA, 735 nt
Organism: Betta splendens (Siamese fighting fish)
Lineage: Eukaryota; Metazoa; Chordata; Actinopteri; Anabantiformes; Osphronemidae
Source: the annotation of a RefSeq genome assembly